RNAcentral lists this ribosomal RNA (478 nucleotides) under uncultured bacterium. RNAcentral's name for it is "partial 16S ribosomal RNA". It matches the Rfam family "Bacterial small subunit ribosomal RNA", at positions 28 to 523 of the family's 1533-position model. The record is from RNAcentral.
GACGAACGCUGGCUGCGUGCUUAACACAUGCAAGUCGAACGGUAAGGCCCUUCGGGGUACACGAGUGGCGAACGGGUGAGUAACACGUGGUUGAUCUGCCCUGCACUUCGGGAUAAGCCUGGGAAACUGGGUCGAAUACCUGAUAGUACUACUGCCUGCAUGGGUGGGGGUGGAAAGCUUUUGCGGUGUGGAAUGGGCCGGCGGCCGUUCAGCUUGUUGGUGGGGUGAUGGCCUACCAAGGCGACGACGGGUAGCCGGCCUGAGAGGGUGACCGGCCACACUGGGACUGAGAUACGGCCCAGACUCCUACGGGAGGCAGCAGUGGGGAAUAUUGCACAAUGGGCGCAAGCCUGAUGCAGCGACGCCGCGUGAGGGAUGACGGCCUUCGGGUUGUAAACCUCUUUCAGCACCGACGAAGCGCAAGUGACGGUAGGUGCAGAAGAAGGACCGGCCAACUACGUGCCAGCCGCCGCUGUAA